AACUUUUGGCAAUCGAUCUCUUGGUUCUGGCAUCGAUGAAGAACGCAGCGAAAUGCGAUAAGUAGUGUGAAUUGCAGAAUUCAGUGAAUCAUCGAAUCUUUGAACGCACAUUGCGCCCGCCAGUAUUCUGGCGGGCAUGCCUGUCCGAGCGUCAUUUCAACCCUCGAACCCCUCCGGGGGGUCGGCGUUGGGGAUCGGCCCUCCCUCGCAGGGAGUCGUCUCCGAAAUACAGUGGCGGUCUCGCCGCAGCCUCUCCUGCGCAGUAGUUUGCACACUCGCACCGGGAGCGCGGCGCGUCCACAGCCGUUAAACACCCAACUUCUGAAAUGUUGACCUCGGAUCAGGUAGGAAUACCCGCUGAACUUAAGCAUAUCAAUAAGCGGAGGCU
RNAcentral lists this unclassified non-coding RNA (388 nucleotides) under uncultured Hypocreaceae. RNAcentral's name for it is "sequence contains ITS2". The stretch from base 1 to 154 matches the Rfam family "5.8S ribosomal RNA". The record is from RNAcentral. Lineage: Eukaryota; Fungi; Ascomycota; Sordariomycetes; Hypocreales.